GACGAACGCUGGCGGCGUGCUUAACACAUGCAAGUCGAACGGAAAGGCCCUGCUUUUGUGGGGUGCUCGAGUGGCGAACGGGUGAGUAACACGUGAGUAACCUGCCCUUGACUUUGGGAUAACUUCAGGAAACUGGGGCUAAUACCGGAUAGGAGCUCCUGCUGCAUGGUGGGGGUUGGAAAGUUUCGGCGGUUGGGGAUGGACUCGCGGCUUAUCAGCUUGUUGGUGGGGUAGUGGCUUACCAAGGCUUUGACGGGUAGCCGGCCUGAGAGGGUGACCGGCCACAUUGGGACUGAGAUGCGGCCCAGACUCCUACGGGGGGCAGCAGUGGGGAAUAUUGCACAAUGGGCGGAAGCCUGAUGCAGCAGCGCCGCGUGCGGGAUGACGGCCUUCGGGUUGUAAACCGCUUUCGCCUGUGACGAAGCGUGAGUGACGGUAAUGGGUAAAGAAGCACCGGCUAUCUACG
RNAcentral lists this ribosomal RNA (466 nucleotides) under uncultured bacterium. Its description in RNAcentral is "partial 16S ribosomal RNA". It matches the Rfam family "Bacterial small subunit ribosomal RNA", at positions 28 to 505 of the family's 1533-position model. The record is from RNAcentral.